UAGGGGUUAGACAGCUAGGGGAGAGGCGAACGGAGGAGGAGAGGGCCCAGCGGCGCGACGGCUGAGUCGGCGAAGAGGACGCGGAAGAGGAGGGGCGAGGGGUCUAGCCGCAGGUCGCGUCCUCCUAGGCCCACCAGUACCACCGCCGUACAAGUCGCCGGAGCGGCCUAACAAUCGGAGGAGUUAGGGGAGCGUGUCCGCGGCGGCGGUUCGGACGGGAGCUGGCACCGCGGCGGCCGCAGUGAGGACAGCGAGCACGGCGGUGGCGGUGGCCGGGAGCGUGUCGGCGUCGACGUACGAGAGGAGACGACGGGGUCGCGGGGCUCGUAGUGGGGCAGCUUAUCCGCGAGGGGUGCAAUCGCGGAAGAGGUACCUAGUCAGUGACUGCCGGUAGUUGCGGCCACUGGGUUAGGUAUCCUUCCAUUGGGUCCCCUAAUUAGAAGGUGGCGGCGGCGGCUCCCCCCGGGACAAAAAGGUACGUACAGGAGACUGGGUAAUAGGACGUAUCGGCGGUCGGCAGCGGCUCCUGUCUCUUCCAGGCCACAGAUCUUGGCAGCGAUGGAUAGGACGGUUCGAAGAGCGGGCCCUGCUCAUAGGGAGGGUCGGUGGACGCGGUGGUAGGCGGAGACCGUUAAAGCAUACGCACAUCCGCUGUCACCUUGUUUAAGUCUGUCAGUUAAUAGGCAGGCAGUCUUAUGAGUCCAUAAACCGUUAUAACCGAGAACCCUACGGGUUAACUAGUGACUUCGACCACCGUUCCACCAGAGGUAGUCUCUACAGUGUCCCCGACAGUUCUUGAGGUUACCGUAACUGUAUCGGUUCGACUACUUCGUGAGCCGUCUCUUGGCGCCCUAGUUCCCGAAACUGCCUCCGCUGCGGCAACUGGGCUGGAGCGACGAGUGCCUUCUCACGCUACACGUGUAGGGCCUUCGAGACCCUCCUCAGUAUUUGUUCCUGUUACGACUACGGUAUUUUCGUUUCAUGUAGUAGCUCCGACAAUUGGUGGGUUGUCUGGGACUCCGGCUGCUCUAAGACCGUUUCUUCCCGCACGACCAGGAUGGCCUGUAGUACCGGUUGAGGCCACCUCACUAUCACUCGACGAAGCUCACCCGGCGACCCGCAGGUUCUCCGUGAACUGGAACGACCUAGUGCGACAGUAGCCGCAUUAGGUCCGGCCUAGACACCUCUCGGGCCGCGUCGUGGCAGUGUCUAACUAUUCCCGGCCUCGAAGUUACUGUUUAGGUGAUAUAAGUCGUGUGUCGGGUUGAGUCGUCCGUGCUCGGUACAGCUGUCAGCCCCACCGUGAGCUCACGUACGAGCGGAACUGUCAGUAGUUCCAGCGUUAUCUCAGCCACCUCCAACACGAGCCGCUGCGACUCUCUCUCAGAUAGUUCGUAUUCAGGUACAACAACACCGACUUCGCUGAAUACCUACGGCUGUACGAACUUCUAAAACUUCUACUUUGGCUGGAGUUGGACACCCGUCGGUGACACUUCUUCUAAUUCUACGGUGUAUUGUACUCUAGCUACGUUUUCGCGUAUCUUUUCUAUUUUCUCCUGGCACUCCUGGCCGUUCCAGGGCUGUAGGUCCUAUGUCGUCCUAUACACCUCCUCCGUCUUUAGUAGACCUCCUGACUACUAACGUAUAUAACCUCGUCGUCAAUAAAGGGGGAGGAAAACUGAUGUCACCAACCUCAGUCAUCCAUCACUAAUCUCAUUCAUCCUCUCCGACCGUAAACUGUUAUGCCAAGACACACACGUAACUAACGACCACGACGUUGGACAUUAAAGGAACACCUCACCUGGCUUCAUUAGGUAGUUCGAUCGACGUAAUAACUAAGACAAGGAAAACGACCGCUCCAGAGGUUGAUGGGAAAACUCCAGAGGUUGAAGCAGGAGGUCGAACCUGUUGGAUCCACAAGAUUGGCACUACGCUUAUCCACCUACUUCUCCUUCGUCAUGGCGGCAUAACUUGUCCGGUCCUCCCACGACCGGCAACCGAGACUAGGGGACCCACCGACCCACACCGACCGCCGAGGUUAGCGCGGCCAGUCCUCCCACAGCAACCUCUCUCAAGCUGCGGCCGCUGCUCGUAUGUCUCUUGUUCGUCACUGCAGCAUAAGGCGUCUGGCCUACCCGCCAGCGGCCGCCGAGGCAAGGGCACCCACUCCUGCCGCCGAGGCAAUGGCGGCCACUUGUCCCGCCGCCGAGACAAUGUCGGCCACUUGUCCCGUCGGCGCAAGCUACCCUGACUGUGACCUCUUCCAGCGCACACUCUUCCGUGGACCUUACCUUAUACUCACGUCUUAGUCGUAACCUC
Molecule: ribosomal RNA, 2319 nt
Filed under: Triticum aestivum (bread wheat)
Lineage: Eukaryota; Viridiplantae; Streptophyta; Magnoliopsida; Poales; Poaceae
Description: partial small subunit ribosomal RNA
Source: RNAcentral